GAUGAACGCUAGCGGCAGGCCUAACACAUGCAAGUAGAACGCUGAAGGAGGAGCUUGCUUCUCUGGAUGAGUUGCGAACGGGUGAGUAACGCGUAGGUAACCUGCCUGGUAGCGGGGGAUAACUAUUGGAAACGAUAGCUAAUACCGCAUAAGAGUAGAUGUUGCAUGACAUUUGCUUAAAAGGUGCAAUUGCAUCACUACCAGAUGGACCUGCGUUGUAUUAGCUAGUUGGUGGGGUAACGGCUCACCAAGGCGACGAUACAUAGCCGACCUGAGAGGGUGAUCGGCCACACUGGGACUGAGACACGGCCCAGACUCCUACGGGAGGCAGCAGUAGGGAAUCUUCGGCAAUGGACGGAAGUCUGACCGAGCAACGCCGCGUGAGUGAAGAAGGUUUUCGGAUCGUAAAGCUCUGUUGUAAGAGAAGAACGAGUGUGAGAGCGGAAAGUUCACACUGUGACGGUAUCUUACCAGAAAGGGACGGCUAACUACGUGCCAGCAGCCGCGGUAAUACGUAGGUGGCAAGCGUUAUCCGGAUUUAUUGGGCGUAAAGAGAGUGCAGGCGGUUUUCUAAGUCUGAUGUGAAAGCCUUCGGCUUAACCGGAGAAGUGCAUCGGAAACUGGAUAACUUGAGUGCAGAAGAGGGUAGUGGAACUCCAUGUGUAGCGGUGGAAUGCGUAGAUAUAUGGAAGAACACCAGUGGCGAAGGCGGCUACUUGGUCUGCAACUGACGCUGAGACUCAAAAGCAUGGGUAGCCGAACAGG
RNAcentral lists this ribosomal RNA (765 nucleotides) under uncultured Streptococcus sp. Its description in RNAcentral is "bacterial SSU rRNA". It matches the Rfam family "Bacterial small subunit ribosomal RNA", at positions 28 to 776 of the family's 1533-position model. The record is from RNAcentral. Lineage: Bacteria; Bacillati; Bacillota; Bacilli; Lactobacillales; Streptococcaceae.